GCCCGGGUAGCUCAAUCGGUAGAGCGUGUGGCUCUUAAGAAACACCUCAAGGUCGCGGGUUCGAGCCCCGCCUCGGGCU
RNAcentral lists this transfer RNA (79 nucleotides) under Blumeria hordei DH14. RNAcentral describes it as "tRNA-Lys for anticodon CUU". It matches the Rfam family "tRNA". From Rfam's summary of the family: Transfer RNA (tRNA) molecules are approximately 80 nucleotides in length. The record is from Rfam by way of RNAcentral. Lineage: Eukaryota; Fungi; Ascomycota; Leotiomycetes; Helotiales; Erysiphaceae. RNAcentral also lists the same sequence under 1 other name.